UUUCAUUCUAUAUUCUGUAAACUGCCAUGCUCUCUCGUCUUUCAUUGAUAAAAUUAUAAGAGAUCAGUCCGCGCAUACUUAGCAACUGACAGAUGACGCCCGUAGCAACAACUCUCGCCACGAAAAUAAUCAUAAAAACAUUUGUUUUUUACCAUACGUUUUACAGCUUGUGAUAAUUCAAUAUCGUUUGAAUUAAACUGAGUCAUCUCAUUUUUAAAUAUAUAAAAUCAGCCUUGAGCGAAUAAAAUAAAACCAUAUUAGUUCAAAAAGUAUACAGAUCAGUACGCGUUGCAAAGAAAAACGGCCGUAGCAACACAACUCGCAACAAAUAGGCCACGCACAUACAAC
This 348-nucleotide long non-coding RNA is filed under the name Mytilus galloprovincialis (Mediterranean mussel). Lineage: Eukaryota; Metazoa; Mollusca; Bivalvia; Mytilida; Mytilidae. The record is from RNAcentral.